Molecule: ribosomal RNA, 262 nt
Filed under: uncultured bacterium
Lineage: Bacteria
Description: partial 16S ribosomal RNA
Rfam family: Bacterial small subunit ribosomal RNA
Source: RNAcentral
CCUUUCGGGGUAAGUACAGUGGCGCACGGGUGAGUAAUGUAUAGGUUAUCUACCUUUUAGUGGGGGACAACAUCGGGAAACCGGUGCUAAUACCGCAUAAGCAGGAAACUGGAAAGAGGCCCUCUACUUGUAAGGUCUUGCUAAGAGAAGAGCCUGUAUGGCAUUAGCUUGUUGGUGGGGUAAUGGCCUACCAAGGCGAUGAUGCCUAGCUGGUCUGAGAGGAUGAUCAGCCACACUGGAACUGAGACACGGUCCAGACUCC